UACAGAGGUCUCAAGCGUUGUUCGGAUUCAUUGGGCGUAAAGGGUGCGUCGGUGGCGCCGUAAGUCAGGUGUGAAAUCUCGGGGCUCAACCCCGAAACUGCACUUGAUACUGCGGUGCUCGAGUACUGGAGAGGAGAUUGGAAUUUACGGUGUAGCAGUGAAAUGCGUAGAUAUCGUAAGGAAGACCAGUGGCGAAGGCGAAUCUCUGGACAGUUACUGACACUGAGGCACGAAGGCCAGGGGAGCAAACGGG
This 253-nucleotide ribosomal RNA is filed under the name uncultured bacterium. RNAcentral's name for it is "partial 16S ribosomal RNA". It matches the Rfam family "Bacterial small subunit ribosomal RNA", at positions 524 to 776 of the family's 1533-position model. The record is from RNAcentral.